AACGAACGCUGGCGGCAUGCCUAACACAUGCAAGUCGAACGAGACCUUCGGGUCUAGUGGCGCACGGGUGCGUAACGCGUGGGAACCUGCCCUUAGGUUCGGUAUAACUCCCCGAAAGGGGUGCCAAUACCGGAUAAUGUCUUCGGACCAAAGAUUUAUCGCCUUUGGAUGGGCCCGCGUUGGAUUAGCUAGUUGGUAGGGUAAAAGCCUACCAAGGCGACGAUCCAUAGCUGGUCUGAGAGGAUGAUCAGCCACACUGGGACUGAGACACGGCCCAGACUCCUACGGGAGGCAGCAGUGGGGAAUAUUGGACAAUGGGCGAAAGCCUGAUCCAGCAAUGCCGCGUGAGUGAUGAAGGCCUUAGGGUUGUAAAGCUCUUUUACCCGGGAUGAUAAUGACAGUACCGGGAGAAUAAGCUCCGGCUAACUCCGUG
RNAcentral lists this ribosomal RNA (433 nucleotides) under uncultured bacterium. RNAcentral describes it as "partial 16S ribosomal RNA". It matches the Rfam family "Bacterial small subunit ribosomal RNA", at positions 29 to 507 of the family's 1533-position model. The record is from RNAcentral.